UCUGCGUUCGAGGGAGGCUGAUGUUUCCGACGCUAUGUGCAGCCGUGGGGGCGUGGCAGGGCGUGUUUCCACCUCCGUGUUGCCCGCGCUGGCUGAUCAAGGGGAUUAUAAACAGGUGCGGGUAGCCGCAUUGUAGCUCUCUGGUUUUCUGCUGUAUGCAGCAUCUGAGUGCGUCGCUGCGAGGUUCUGGCAUUGUUGAUUCGAAGCAGAACUGUGGAGUUUGCCGUCGGGAGUCGUGGAUGUCCCCCAGUCUGGCUGGUGAAGGCUGUGCUGAGGGGGUGUUCGUGUGGGUGCGUGAAGGAAGCUGUGUGCAGAUUGCCCCUGUCCUGCUAUGUUCUUU
This is a long non-coding RNA of Melanotaenia boesemani (Boeseman's rainbowfish), 340 nucleotides long. RefSeq lists it as uncharacterized. The transcript has 4 exons. The record is from RefSeq and is a predicted model, not a curated record. Lineage: Eukaryota; Metazoa; Chordata; Actinopteri; Atheriniformes; Melanotaeniidae.